CCCGCGCUCUCCUGGGCGACGGAGGCCAUGGCGACGAGAGCCAAGGGCAGCGAGCCGAGGCGGGGCUGAGCGCGGGAGGAAGGCGGGGACGCGGGCGAGCGCGGGCCCUGGGCCCCUCCUGCGCGGCCGCGGCUGGCUCUAGGCCCCGGCCUCACAGCGCGGCGCCCCCGAACCCGGCUGCUCCCCCGAGGUCGCGGGCGCCGGCGGGAACCGCAGUAGCGGGAGACAUAGCCGGCCCAGCCGGGCACCGCUCCUUGCCCUCGCCGGAGACUGCCCAGCGCCCUGCGCCUCUCCGCCCCGGCCUGCGGCGCGCUGGGUGGCGACGAGUCGGCCUCGGCGUUGAUCAGCACCAGGAUGAACCGUUGUCCACAUUCUGUUUUCUGAGUCAAAGAGGAGGAAGAUCUGUCCAUCGAAACUGAGCUGCCAAGAUCCACUGCCGUGUCCUUCGGCUUUCUGCUCACAAGACAUCCUGGCCUGCAGGGUGAGGGGUUCUGCCCCCAUCAAAGAGAGAUCAGCUCUGGCCUUGACAGAUAUUGAGCCCCCAUCCUCUUCCACUUGCAAUUUCCUGGUCUUACUUGCUCUGCCACAUCCUGGCCUUGCCUCUAGACGUCUUGCGGGGUGAGAUGACCUUCCUAUUUGUAUUUUUACAUGAAAACUAUAAAUGCCUCUAACCUACCACUGUAUCUGCUCCCUGCUGUCCUGGGCCAUCUGAAACUUACCCUUGGGUAUGUAAUUCUCCAGCUGAAUGUCAAGCAGUUGCUCUGUAAGUAUGUCCACCACCUCUCUCAGUACUGGGUUCUGUGCUUUCCAG
RNAcentral lists this long non-coding RNA (811 nucleotides) under Homo sapiens (human). RNAcentral describes it as "HSALNT0115081". Lineage: Eukaryota; Metazoa; Chordata; Mammalia; Primates; Hominidae. The record is from RNAcentral.